GCCAGGCGUGGUGGUGUGUGCCUAUAGUCCCAGCUACUUGGGAGGCUGAGGUGGGAGGAUCGCUUGAGCCCAGGAGUUCUGGGCUGUAGUGCGCUAUGCCGAUCGGGUGUCUGCACUAAGUUUGGCAUCAAUAUGGCGACCUCCCGGGAGCAGGGGACCACCAGGUUGCCUAAGGAGGGGUGAACCAGCCCAGGUUGGAAAUGGGGCAGGUCAAAAUUCCUGUGCUGACCAGUAGUGGGAUUGCACCUGUAAAUAGCCACUGCACUCCAGCCUGGGAAACAAAGCAGAGUAAAAGUUU
Molecule: signal recognition particle RNA, 298 nt
Filed under: Cebus imitator (Panamanian white-faced capuchin)
Lineage: Eukaryota; Metazoa; Chordata; Mammalia; Primates; Cebidae
Description: Metazoan signal recognition particle RNA (ENSCCAG00000003547.1)
Rfam family: Metazoan signal recognition particle RNA
About the family: The signal recognition particle (SRP) is a universally conserved ribonucleoprotein.
Source: RNAcentral